Long non-coding RNA from Pipistrellus kuhlii (Kuhl's pipistrelle), 162 nucleotides. RefSeq lists it as uncharacterized. The record is from RefSeq and is a predicted model, not a curated record. NCBI's taxonomy places the organism in Eukaryota, Metazoa, Chordata, Mammalia, Chiroptera, Vespertilionidae. The transcript is spliced from 2 exons.
UAACUCUGAAUCACAGGAAACCACCCAAUCAUAAAACACUAGUAACUAGUGAUUUCUUCAGAAGUGAAUGGAUAAUACUGAAUGUCUCACUGAGAAAUAAAAAUUCUACCUUCCCUCGCCUAGUCACAGCUGAAGGAAACAAUAAACUAAGUGUGGACCAAU